RNAcentral lists this ribosomal RNA (253 nucleotides) under uncultured bacterium. RNAcentral describes it as "partial 16S ribosomal RNA". It matches the Rfam family "Bacterial small subunit ribosomal RNA", at positions 524 to 776 of the family's 1533-position model. The record is from RNAcentral.
UACGGAGGAUGCAAGCGUUAUCCGGAAUGAUUGGGCGUAAAGAGUCCGUAGGUGGCUCGUCAAGUCUGUUGUCAAAGAGUGAGGCUUAACUGGGCGGGGUCCGUGGAAACUGGUCAACUGGAGGACGGUAGAGGCAAGUGGAAUUCCCGGUGUAGUGGUGAAAUGCGUAGAGAUCGGGAGGAACACCAGUGGCGAAGGCGGCCUUCUGGACAGUGACUGACGCUGAGACACGAAAGCGUGGGGAGCAAACAGG